AUGUCCCCGAAGAGGGUGAGUUUGGCGUCGCUCUCUAUGGCUUUGGCCAGGCAGGAGGCGAAGGUGUCCAGGGACUCGUGGACUUCGGCGUGGACCUGCACUGACGCCAUGUGCUCAGCUGCCGAUGAGGAAGAAGCAGAUGGAUGGAAGGGAUAAUGUGGCUGGGAUGAGCCAUCAGUGGAAAAGUUGUCCAGCAGCAUCACAUCUGUGCCUGUGGGGGCGACCAUGCAAACGGGCUCUCAAAUAUAAAAAACAGUCGCAAGGGAAACAAACUGUUCAAUGAUCAAACUGUAUCCAUCAUCAAAUAUCUAUGAAGACCAUAUAAAGCAGUGUUUCCCAACCUUUCAUGAGCCAGUCUCACAUAUUUUGCAUUAGAAAAAUGGUACAGUGCAGCUCCAUAUAACAAUGUCACAAAAAGCGUAUACUGAAAUAAUGGUGAUCUGGUCAAAAUUAACGAAUGGAAUGGGUUCCCAAAAAAUAAUAAUUCUGUGAAAAUGUGACGUCAAACCGUGAAUAUGUGGCCAUUCACUGUAAAUACAGUUUUUUGCUAAACCCCACUAAAACUACUCACGCUUUAAAAACAAAAACGGGUGAGUCAUUUUCAUGCUAACUGUCAUGCUUUUAGCUACAAGUUGUUUGUAUUAGCAUCUGCUAGGUAGAAUUAAUUGGUUUAUGUUAAAUGAUAUUUAAUUGUGUUGCUCAUAUGGUACUCAACAGGCAGAGCCUUUCCUAUGUCACAGUAAGUACAGUUCGUGGUGGCAUCACACAAACAAGCCGAAGAAAAAAACAAUACACAAGCUUUGUUCUUCUGCUUUGUGCCACGCGAUUCAGGCAUAUGUCAUUUUUUCCCCCCCAUCUUUUAUUUAGGAGUAUAAAGAGGGUUAGCGGGAAUGUACUCUGGUAAACGUAUCCAAUUUAUGUAAAUGUAAAAGUUGCCAGAAAUAUAUAUGUACAGAUAUGUGAACAUUCAGGUUUUGUACAGAAAUGAAGUAUUUGUACUUCGUUACAUGUCCAAACUGAUAGCGUGUGCGCGACACUUACACGAGUCCUGAGUGAAACUGAAGCCCGUGUCUCCAGUGCUGCUCCCCGGGGCCAGCAGCUGCCCUCCGCCGGCCAACAUGGCCGUUAGGUGGGGUGACAUCCCCAAGUCUGGUGAAAACCAAAUUUAGAAUUUUCAAAAUUUGAACUUGAAUGCGUUUCUUUACAACUUGACUGGCCAGACAUUAUUGAAGUGGAAACUUCUCCCCCGAUCACAUGUCAGCUGGCUUGUGAAGGUCUUAAAUUCAUAUCAAAGUUGAAAAUGUGAUUCUCACACUCUAGUUCUGUUAGUGUUCUUGGCAAAACCUGGCAGCCCUUCAAGGAGUACUUUGAUAGUGACUAGUUUCCCCCCUUCCCAUCUGCCUUGUUUUAUUUGAUUUGACUUUUCAUUUAACUUGGAGUGGAACCUCGGUUAGUGACAAUUUUUUUUCCGCAGAACGUUUGUCCCAGUUUUCGUACAGCCACUCUGUUUUCAUAUAAUUGAAAAUUGUCCGCGCCAAACUUGUACCAUUAAUCAUUUUUCAUUGAUUUAAUGAGACUCAUCAUUUACUAUUAUCUCAUAGAUUUGAAUUUUAGAUGGAAGGAAAGAGGACAAUAGAGGACAUGAAAGGGGAAAAGACCAGGACAAGGGUAGUGGAAUGUGUCGACUGGAAUGUGGUGGGAGUGGCUAUGUCAAUUCUAAACAUUUAUAGAAACUGAGUGCAAAUGAGGGGACAUCCCAAGAAGUUCGUUAGAUCAGAAGACUUGUUUAUAGCAAUUGAGUCCCAGGAGAGCGUGUCUGCAGAAACAUGCAAUUGAAUAGACCCAGUCUCGCAUGCACAAUAAACAUUUGAGGGUUUUCUGGAAUUGCUGUGCCAACACAACGGGGGUGGUGGACCCCACCCAGCUGAGAAGGGAGGACGGGCCUGGGAGUCCACCUGAGAACGGUUCGGCCGAGCAGCCCCAUCAAAGCGCCACAAAACUGGCCACACGGAGCAGUACGCAAGGAAAAAUGGAGGACCACUCAUGCUAGGACAAUAAUCUUAUCUUUAUGUGUGGGGACUGUCGCAGAUUUAAAAAAAAAUAAAUAAAAUUAAAUAUUUUUUUUUUAA
Molecule: long non-coding RNA, 2129 nt
Organism: Phyllopteryx taeniolatus (common seadragon)
Lineage: Eukaryota; Metazoa; Chordata; Actinopteri; Syngnathiformes; Syngnathidae
Exons: 2
Source: RefSeq, a predicted model, not a curated record